This is a long non-coding RNA of Ostrinia nubilalis (European corn borer), 1408 nucleotides long. RefSeq lists it as uncharacterized. The transcript is spliced from 2 exons. NCBI's taxonomy places the organism in Eukaryota, Metazoa, Arthropoda, Insecta, Lepidoptera, Crambidae. The record is from RefSeq and is a predicted model, not a curated record.
CCUCGGCCGUGUGGCGCACGCCGCCCGGACAGCGCCUGCCCGCCCUGCACGAGUGACGUAAUCACUCCUCACUUUUCGGGAAUACACAAUGUCGCUGGCGGCCUGUCUUGUAAAUAUAACUUUAUUAAACUUAUUAUGUUUAUAAUAUAAUGCAAUCAUGAGUAUUAUACGUAGCCGUUGCUGUUAGGCUACAUUCCUUUAGAAAAUAAUAUACUGCAACGAUUUGUUUUUGCAAAAAUCAUCACAUUUUAAUGUAAAUAUUAUCAUCUGCCAUUCAUUUUGUUUUUUAGUUCUCGGCUGUUAAAACUUAUUCCGUUUUUAUUGUUUACCUCCGUUUAUUGAAAAUUGGUAGUUUUUAAAAAUAUUUUUAGUAAAAUGUUUGAUAUUUCAAGCAGUAGUUUCAAAGGAUUUUAACACCACACAAGCGAAAGGAAGCCUUAAAGUAAGUGACCUUAUAGAUUUAAUAUAUAACGUUAACCCAUGUAUUUUUAUUGUAUAGUUGAAUGCUGUUGGGAUAUAAAAGUGACAGGUUAGAAUUUACUAUUAAAGAUUUAGACAUGGUACCAAUUUUGAUGUCUGCUAAAAUUGCUAAACUAGGUUUAGUGAUAAAUCUUAUACUUUGGCACUAUUUUAACAGCUAUUAAAGUAUUGUGAACAAACAUGACUCUAAGUAUUGUUCGAAUAAAGUCUAUUUAUUAGACUGGGCUAUACCACUGUCUAGCUAUACAGUUUUUUGUGAAAUUAUGAAGACACUUUUACGUUAUGCCAACAAAUGUAAUGAAAACGUAAAGGAAAAACGGGGUUUUUCUUUCAUCAAACACGCGCCCGUACACAAACGAUGCUUGCUUAAGUGAAGCAGAAAAUCAAACGCACAGCGUUGAAUAGAGCUUUGUGAUUGGUUCGUGUGUCACCCUGUGCGUCCACGCGCACUGUGAAACCUCAUAGUAAUGUUUGUGAAUACGGACGACAGAUUUCUCUCUAAAGAGAAUUUAAAUAAAAAGUAAAUGUGUUCACAUAAUUUUGCCGUUGACUGUAUGAAUUUAAAACCUGCCUGUCACAAUCCCGAAGUAUGAUAAAUAAUGUUAAUAUUGUGUAGUCUUGAAAUAGAGGCAUGUUUAGAAUUACUUAUUUGACACAAAAUUGGUAUAAAACCAUGCUAGCAAUAAUAUAAAAGUUUGCUCAAAAACUAACGACAAAUCAACACUAGUAAGCAUGUCUUUGUAAUUUUAGACUGUUUUUGCUAAAAGAUCAUGCUGCUAUUCGGCAUGUAUAAACUUGAGCAAGCAUGCAUACUGUAUAGCCUUAAAAGCAAUAGUAAAUUUUGUGUGCUACACAGUUAUAGAAUAAUGUUUUAACGCUAAGACUGUUAUGGAUUGUAAGUUAGAAAAUAAAAAUUUUACAUCUAGUA